This 479-nucleotide ribosomal RNA is filed under the name uncultured bacterium. Its description in RNAcentral is "partial 16S ribosomal RNA". It matches the Rfam family "Bacterial small subunit ribosomal RNA", at positions 28 to 507 of the family's 1533-position model. The record is from RNAcentral.
GAUGAACGCUCGCGGGAGGCCUAACACAUGCAAGCCGAGCGGUAUUUGUUCUUCGGAACAGAGAGAGCGGCGCACGGGUGCGGAACACGUGUGCAACCUGCCUUUAUCUGGGGGAUAGCCUUUCGAAAGGAAGAUUAAUACCCCAUAAUAUAUUGAGUGGCAUCAUUUGAUAUUGAAAACUCCGGUGGAUAGAGAUGGGCACGCGCAAGAUUAGAUAGUUGGUGAGGUAACGGCUCACCAAGUCAAUGAUCUUUAGGGGGCCUGAGAGGGUGAUCCCCCACACUGGUACUGAGACACGGACCAGACUCCUACGGGAGGCAGCAGUGAGGAAUAUUGGACAAUGGGUUAGCGCCUGAUCCAGCCAUCCCGCGUGAAGGACGACGGCCCUAUGGGUUGUAAACUUCUUUUGUAUAGGGAUAAACCUACUCUCGUGAGAGUAGCUGAAGGUACUAGACGAAUAAGCACCGGCUAACUCCGUG